UGGGGAAUAUUGCACAAUGGGCGCAAGCCUGGUGCAGCCAUGCCGCGUGUGUGAAGAAGGCCUUCGGGUUGUAAAGCACUUUCAGCGAGGAGGAAGGGUAGUGUGUUAAUAGCACAUUGCAUUGACGUUACUCGCAGAAGAAGCACCGGCUAACUCCGUGCCAGCAGCCGCGGUAAUACGGAGGGUGCAAGCGUUAAUCGGAAUUACUGGGCGUAAAGCGCAC
Molecule: ribosomal RNA, 223 nt
Filed under: uncultured bacterium
Lineage: Bacteria
Description: partial 16S ribosomal RNA
Rfam family: Bacterial small subunit ribosomal RNA
Source: RNAcentral